GGCGCACGGGUGAGUAACACGUGGGAACAUACCUCAUAGUACGGAAUAACUGCGGGAAACUGUAGCUAAUACCGUAUAUUCCAGAAAUGGGAAAGAUUUAUCGCUAUGAGAUUGGCCCGCGCAAGAUUAGCUUGUUGGUAAGGUAACGGCUUACCAAGGCUCCGAUCUUUAGCUGGUUUGAGAGGAUGAUCAGCCACACUGGGACUGAGACACGGCCCAGACUCCUACGGGAGGCAGCAGUAGGGAAUAUUGGACAAUGGGGGAAACCCUGAUCCAGCAAUGCAGCGUGAGUGACGAAGGCCUUAGGGUUGUAAAACUCUUUCAUCGGUGAGGAUAAUGACAGUAGCCGAAGAAGAAGGACCGGCUAAUUCCGUGCCUGCAGCCGCGGUAAUACGGAAGGUCCUAGCGUUGUUCGGAAUUACUGGGCGUAAAGCGCAUGUUUGCGGAACAAAAAGUUAGAAGUGAAAUCCCUGGGCUCAACCUAGGAAUUGCUUUUAAAACUUUUUGUUCUGGAA
RNAcentral lists this ribosomal RNA (515 nucleotides) under uncultured marine bacterium. RNAcentral describes it as "bacterial SSU rRNA". It matches the Rfam family "Bacterial small subunit ribosomal RNA", at positions 97 to 646 of the family's 1533-position model. The record is from RNAcentral.